CAAUAGCGUAUAUUAAAGUUGUUGCAGUUAGAACGCUCGUAGUCGGAUUUCGGGGCGGGCCGACCGGUUUGCCGAUGGGUACGCACUGGUCGGCGCGUCCUUCCUUCCGGAGACCGUGCCUACUCUUAACUGAGCGGGGGCGGGAGACGGAUCGUUUACUUUGAAAAAAUCAGAGUGUUUCAAGCAGGCAGCUCGCUCUUGCAUGGAUUAGCAUGGGAUAAUGAAAUAGGACUUUGGUGCUAUUUUGUUGGUUUCGAACACCGAAGUAAUGAUUAAAAGGGACAGUCAGGGGCACUCGUAUUCCGCCGAGAGAGGUGAAAUUCUCAGACCAGCGGAAGACGAACUACUGCGAAAGCAUUUGCCAGGGAUGUUUUCACUGA
RNAcentral lists this ribosomal RNA (380 nucleotides) under uncultured eukaryote. RNAcentral's name for it is "partial 18S ribosomal RNA". It matches the Rfam family "Eukaryotic small subunit ribosomal RNA", at positions 592 to 976 of the family's 1831-position model. The record is from RNAcentral.